Molecule: unclassified non-coding RNA, 184 nt
Filed under: Callistemon rugulosus
Lineage: Eukaryota; Viridiplantae; Streptophyta; Magnoliopsida; Myrtales; Myrtaceae
Source: RNAcentral
UUUUUAAGAUUUUUUUUCGUUCACGGUAAUUUGGGNAUCCNGCUUUCGCGUCGAGACGGGUAAUAUCACGGGGCCCGGGGUGUCGGGCUGGGGAAAUUGCGUUAAUUGAGUCGCUUAAAAGCCGGAAGUUGAAAACUCUAGACUAGUCUCGAGGAGAGAAAUCGAGUCGCUUUUAWAUAUGGCC